Molecule: non-coding RNA, 396 nt
Organism: Nerophis lumbriciformis (worm pipefish)
Lineage: Eukaryota; Metazoa; Chordata; Actinopteri; Syngnathiformes; Syngnathidae
Source: the annotation of a RefSeq genome assembly
AUGAAUUCUGCUCACUUGUGGGUGCUGAUGGCUGUUUUGAGCCUUGGAAAUGGUGAGCAAAGGGUGGACCAGGCUACAAGGGAUGUGCAUGAUGUGGAGGGCGCAACAGUGACGCUCGACUGUAGCUUCCAGAGCAACGAUUACAUUUUCUGGUAUAAACUUGAAAGAAAUGCAGCACCCGACUUUGUUUUGAGCGUCUCUCAGUACGGUAAACUCAAAUAUGGGAAUAAGUACUCCGAAAGGUUUAACUCCACCAUAGAUGCCAGUGCCUUGCAAGCUCAUCUGCAUAUCAAGGGGUUGAAGCAGAACGACUCGGCAAUCUUCUACUGCGCCCUGCAGCCCACACUGACACAGCCACUUGUGUGCUUGUACAAAAACAACUGCAUCCGUUCCUAG